UGAAACACUGGGGGAGGAUUCACAGGAGCAUUAUGGGUAGUGGGGAUCUGUAAGUUUAACCAGGUGUCAGGCUCCAACAGAAGUUGUGUACAGAUUGCAGUCAGAGCUGUUUGCUGUUUCAGCCAGGUGUUUGUGUCCAGAUUCCUUCAGGUGAAUUUCCUGCAGAUUCCUCCUUCAGUCUGACCUUCUUGGAUGAUGAUGACUGCAGCAUCACUGUCAUUUCUAAAGCUUCCAUCAGCCUGAAUGGAAACAGAGCACAGCAAGAGGAGGAGCUCCACAACUGAAUAUGAAAGGCUUCAUGUUGGAAGUGAAGAGCUGCUGUGUUCUCUCUAUUGUUCAUUCAGUACAAGUGGAAAUGAUGCAGCUCUGCUUAGUUUGGAUGAUCAUCUUCAUGUUUCACACUGGAUCCUCUGAGGAUUUAGUGAAACCAUUUAAAGAUGUAAUGCUGGCUUUGGAAGGAGACUCUGUGACUGUCUCCUGCAACUAUUCAGGAUCUUUCGACUACUUCUUCUGGUAUCAACAGAAGUCCAGUUCAUCUCCACAGUUUUUCCUUGCAGAAUAUUCAAAGAAAGCAGGGUUUUCUUAUAAACAUGACAAAACAGCAAAGGAGUUUCAUCUGCAGAUCUCCUCUGCUGCAGUGACAGACUCUGCUGUGUACUACUGUGCUGUGAAGCCCACAGUGACAGGAAACACCAAAACUCUGUACAAAAACCUUUGGAGCAAAGACAACAGAAUACUCCACAACGUCCACUAGAGGGAGUCACACACUGUUAAACUUCAGUGGUUUAUGAUCUGAAUUUGUGGUGCUGGUGAUUAAACAAAACAAUGCAGCAGCAGCAUGUGGAAGAUACUACAAGUUCUGAAAUGUUAUUUUAAAUCAAUUCCGACAAAGGAUGAUAAUGAUGUUGGAUUGUGUUUAUAUAAAGAGAGACUAUCAGCAGCCUAAUAGCUGAGAGUUCUCAACCAAGGAAGUCCUUUCUCUCCACUGCUGUUUGAUCUUUAAGGAGUAAAUAAUUAAAAUGUCCAUUCUGUAAAAACACAUGAUGUCAAGGCUCUGACUCAGCAUCUGUCAGAUAUACCGGGUCGUUGCACAAAUUCUGUAAGCAGUCCCUGUGCCCCACCCCCAUUACCCACUGCCCCCACCCCCCAAAACCCCCCUCCAACACACAUGUCAUCCGAAAUGUCAACACAUUUCAACCUUUUUUCAACAUUUACUUCUAUGCAAUGACUAUAAUUGCUAAAUGCUUUCACCCCCCACUACGAUGCCCUUGGUCAAAUAUACAGGAUCCAAUCUGGAGAUUAAAACAUUUGUAAACCAAUGAUGGUCCAUUAAAUUGUUUACAGAACAGAACAGAAUUCAUGGAUGACCAAGUAAUGAUCAAGCAUGAAACGAUAGAAGGAAAAUUUGACAUAUGCAAACAAUCUUCCUGUCUGGAGCUUAACAUCUACUUUACUCAAUUUAUUUUUGUAAAGACCUCUCAUGAUAUGAUUUGUCCUAAAAUGUGACACAAAUGUAAUAAUGUGAAUAGUACUGUUUGAGUAAUGUAUUGAAUAAGUAAUUAAUGUGGCUGUCAUGUGUAAUUGAAUAGUUGUAUAUCGUCUGUCUAAAGAUUGACCUCAGUCAGGACCUUCACAUGUUCUGUCAAAGUCAACCAGUUUUACCUUAUCAGCUUCUUGUUAACUGAUGGAAAUGAUGUCAUGUAGUGAAUUACAGCACCACAGCAGAGACAAACUCACUAUUUGUCAGAGUUGUGAGAGGAAGGAGGGAGGGAUUAAGGGAGGAGCAAAACUGGGACUCAAGGACAGAAAAGACAACAGGACCCUUCUAUUAAGAAUUCUCCUAAUAUUAAUUACAUGAUUGCUGAUUAUGGCUUGGGCGUGCAUGGCUGCUUCUG
Molecule: non-coding RNA, 1895 nt
Organism: Micropterus salmoides (largemouth bass)
Lineage: Eukaryota; Metazoa; Chordata; Actinopteri; Centrarchiformes; Centrarchidae
Source: the annotation of a RefSeq genome assembly